GCAUUUCCUUCGCAUGAGGGAAAUGAGAAAGGCGGAGCAAUCUGCCACUUAUGGAUGGACCUGCGGCGCAUUAGCUAGUUGGUAAGGUAACGGCUUACCAAGGCGACGAUGCGUAGCCGACCUGAGAGGGUGAUCGGCCACACUGGGACUGAGACACGGCCCAGACUCCUACGGGAGGCAGCAGUAGGGAAUCUUCCGCAAUGGACGAAAGUCUGACGGAGCAACGCCGCGUGAGUGAUGAAGGUUUUCGGAUCGUAAAGCUCUGUUGCCAGGGAAGAACGCCUAGGAGAGUAACUGCUCUUAGGGUGACGGUACCUGAGAAGAAAGCCCCGGCUAACUACGUGCCAGCAGCCGCGGUAAUACGUAGGGGGCAAGCGUUAUCCGGAAUUAUUGGGCGUAUAGCGCGCGCAGGCGGCAAUGUAAGUUGGGUGUUUAAACCUAGGGCUCAACCUUGGGUCGCAUCCAAAACUGCAUAGCUUGAGUACAGAAGAGGAAAGUGGAAUUCCACGUGUAGCGGUGAAAUGCGUAGAGAUGUGGAGGACACCAGUGGCGAAGGCGACUUUCUGGGCUGUACUGACGCU
This 581-nucleotide ribosomal RNA is filed under the name Paenibacillus alvei. RNAcentral's name for it is "bacterial SSU rRNA". It matches the Rfam family "Bacterial small subunit ribosomal RNA", at positions 173 to 747 of the family's 1533-position model. Lineage: Bacteria; Bacillati; Bacillota; Bacilli; Caryophanales; Paenibacillaceae. The record is from RNAcentral.